Molecule: ribosomal RNA, 451 nt
Filed under: uncultured bacterium
Lineage: Bacteria
Description: bacterial SSU rRNA
Rfam family: Bacterial small subunit ribosomal RNA
Source: RNAcentral
UACGGAAGGCAGCAGUGGGGAAUAUUGCACAAUGGGCGAAAGCCUGAUGCAGCUAUGCCGCGUGUAUGAAGAAGGCCUUAGGGUUGUAAAGUACUUUCAUCGGGGAGGAAAAACAAAACUAAUAAUUUUAUUUCUUGACGUUACCCGAAAAAGAAGCACCGGCUAACUCCGUGCCAGCAGCCGCGGUAAUACGGAGGGUGCUAGCGUUAAUCAGAAUUACUGGGCGUAAAGAGCACGUAGGUGGUUUUUUUAAGUCAGAUGUGAAAUCCCUGGGCUUAACCUGGAACUGCAUUUUGAAACUGAAAUACUAGAGUAUCGUAGAGGGAGGUAGAAUUCUAGGUGUAGCGGUGAAAUGCGUAGAUAUCUGGAGGAAUACCUGUGGCGAAAGCGGCCUCCUAAACGAAUACUGACACUGAGGUGCGAAAGCGUGGGGAGCAAACGAGUAUAGACU